GCAGUACUAACGACCAUAAAAUCAUAUGCUUUUUAUUUAACAUAAAAUGAAACAUUAAGAUAAAAUACACGUUUGUCCAUGUGCUGAAGAACUACUGUAUUUUACAUUCAUUUAUAAAGCAGGUAGUUUUACAUGACAAAAAGAAGUGAGAGGAACAGAAUCGCAGUUAAGACGUAAGCCACAGGGCAGGCUGUUGCUUGUCAAAGUGCUGCCUCCUAAGGGCACGCAGAUCUUCAAGUGACAGGUUAGACAGAAGCUGUUUCUAGCACUCUUCAGAUCCCUCUUAAUGCUGGUGAGAAGCUAAGGUGGAAUCAUACAGCAAAAUGAGUGAAAACCUUGACAAAACAACCUUUGCCAAAAUGCAUAGCUGCAGCAUGACAGACCAUCUUUGUCCCUGAUGCAUUGCUCCUUCGCUGGAACUGGCCCGUGCUGAUUUUCAAUGCCUGGAAGUUACCGUACUGAACUACGAUUGCUUUCUUUUUUCCACACAAACCUGUCUUACUCAAACCUGACUUUACAAACGGACUGUGAUACAAUUGCACAGGAGAUUUACGGCAACAGAAAGUGCUGUAAAUCCAGCGAAGUCGGGUGUUUGUGGGUGCAUCCUUGGUGCACCUCUAGACAUCAGAGGAAAAAAUCGUUACUGAAACCUCUGUCCCUGAGGUUCAAGGUAAUGCCUGUCCUGUCUCAGCUACCGGUAGGGUUAAAAUCCUGGGAAACACUCCACUGCACACACUGCAGCGGGAGUGUUUCACCAGGCGUAUUCAUUUCCUGGUGGUUUGCAUUCCUGGUGAUGGCCCUGGAAUUGGCCCCAAGGAUCCCAGAGGCCUGUCCUCCCAAAGGGACACUCUUGGCCCAGCUUUUCCAAUAAUGCAGCAGCUGAGAGGUCUUAACUGAAAGGUACAGGAGACCAGUUGGGUUUAAGUUUAAAUUGUUUAAAGUUUAAAUUGGUUUAAAUUGGGGAAGGGAUGGGAGAUGCAGCAGUACCAGGGGAAUAAGGAAUGUUGUUUUUUUUUUCAAAAGUGCAGCAGAUCAAAACACAUUGCUAUUAUAUAUUCUUUCUAACUCAUAUAUCUUAAAUACGAAAACAAAUACAAAAGCUGUAAUUCUGUCUCAGGUCUGUGGUGACUUUGCAAGGUAUGAUGUCACCAGAAGACUGAGAUGAAGCUGGUCUGACCAGGUACACCUAGCUAAAACAUAGCUGUGUGUACUAUGGACACACCUGCACAGCCCCCCCCAACUCCGCAUAUAUACACCCCCUAAACAGCGGGACUUUCUUAUAGUGCAACUGUUCUAGAGUGGAAGGCCCCUCUGUGUGUCCAGAGCAAGUUUUGACAAAGCACUGGGUGCCGUGGUUUGCUUUUAAAAAGGUUCCAAUAAUAACUGAAGCAGUAUAAAAAUCCCAGUUGCCUGCCUUUUCAGGUUUCAGAUUUGUACUUUUAAAACUUGACUGGUUAACACCUUUUCUUUUCCCAGAUCCAGUUUCCUUCCCUGUCAGUCCCAGCAAUACAGGACUGCUAUCAACAUCUCCAGUUUAUACACAGGAUUCCUGCAGUUGUUUGCUGGAGAAAGUGGAAGUAAAUGUAAUUUGAGAUUUAUCUAAGCCAAAAGGCAUUACGGAAAAGGGAUGAGUCAAGUGCGCUGCACUGCCUGUGCUGAUGAGCCGCUUCCCCCUUUCCCUCAGCAGGGAUCUGUACUCUUUGUCUCUGGAGCUGCAGAACUGGGCCAGCAACCACAGGACUGCAGCUCUCCUCAUCUGUCAGAAACGGUACGUAGAGAACAAGCGGUAUCUGCUGUUUAACAGAGUACCAGGAGGCCGGGAAACCGCUGCAUCACUGGCAAUACGUGGCACUGUGUAUCUGGGCCCAAUCCUGACAGCUCCAUGAGCUGCUGGUCUGCCUGACCUGCUCUCCAGCUGCCCUCUGCAUUGCUACACAAGGGCAGUGGCUCGAGGAUCCCACUCGUGAUGAGAAUCCCCUCCAUUUCUAAUAGCUGCAAAGAUGCUGCAUCCUCUACAGGGAGAUUCUCACCCAAAUUCCUACAAACUAAGAAAAUAACUACAUCUGCUUUGAUAGUGUUUCCUUGAAAUCGUUGGACUUUUGGUAUAUUGCUUGAAUUUCCCAUAAGCAUCAUAAGAUGCUCGCAUCAGAAAUCAAGCUGUUUGUUAAAAUCUCGGUGGCAGAGCAAAACUGAAUAGCUUUGAUUUUGUUUUGGUUGAGUAGCUUCUGUAGCAGUACGCCUCUUUGGCUAGAACAGUAGCAUUGCUUGGGUAAAAGAUCCACCUCAACACCUUGUCUUCUCCCCAUAGGUCAUUUGGGGUGGUUAUGGGGCAAAAUGAAUGCAAACAGGACACAGGACUGAAAACUGGUCUGUGUGCUCGAUCCAGAACUGCCAAACUCUUCCAAAACUCAGUUGCUCAGGCACUCCUGGUUCCUGCGCUACCCCGUGGCUGCUGCUGCGCAGGGCAGCAUGUCCCUCCUCUCUCCCUCUUUUCUGCUUUUCCUUUGUUUUUUAAACAUUACUACAUGCUCAAAUCCAACAGCUCAAAUACUUUUUAAUACAUUGAAAAUGUAAAAUAAAGAAUAUAUGAAGUACAUACAGUAUAUAUAUACAUAUUUCAAAUACUUAAAAUUCUUAUGUAAAAUAUGAUUUUUUCUAUAUUAUUUGUGUAAAAAUACAUUUUAAAAUGGUGUCAACUUGAUUUUUCUGUACAUACCCUCUAUUCCAAUUUAAGUCCCUUUUAAAAAGGCAAAAGAGAGACAAAGGUUUAGUAUCUUCUGCGUUUACAGGCCUGUUGUCAAAACAAGAAACGCAUGUGGUAAACAGCAUUGGAGUUCUUCUUUUUAAGAAUUCCCAUUUUUAUUGCAUUAGUGGAAAAAAAAAAUGAAUCUUGUCAGUUUUCCUGCUAGUAAAACUAUUCCUGGCCUUGCUGGGAAACUGCUGACUCCCAAUACCCUGUGCAUUUAGUUCAUAAAUCUUCCUUUGUCCAUUUUUUUUACAGAUACUAAAAUAUAUAUUACUUAAAAUAUAUUACUGUAAGCUCUUAAAAUUGAUCUUCAGUUAUAUCAAAUGUAUAGCAUUAAAAAAAGAAACCAACACUAGGUAACAACGAGAAUUCUGGCUGUCACCCUCCUACCACGCGCUCGACUGCUCUCCCCAUGCGACACGAGGGCUGCCAGGACAUCAACCACCAGACCAUGGGUCAGCCAGAGGCAGCAGUGGCCUAGAACAGCCUCCUCCUGCAUGCCCCAAUGACACAACUCAUCUGUGCUCAUUGCCAGAGAUAAUUCAGCUUGUACCUGCCUGCCUUCCCCUCCCAAAACCAUGAGAGCCACGGAGGCAAAGGCAGGCGCUGAGGGCCAGCCUUGGGGCCUUCAAACAACUGAGCCUAAGCAAAACUCCCAAGUGAGACUGAAAGGUUUCCCCAAGACUCCAAGAGCCCCCCGGUGAGGUGGUUCCAGUGAAGAAAGCCGCUGGCCUUCCAAUGGAAACACUCCAGCCCCUUCCUUUUUUCCACACUCUAGUGCUUAUGGGUGCCAGACACAGCCUGCCCCUGGAGCAGUGGUGGGCUCUGCCUCAGCCCUUCCACAGGCCACGUGCUUCUCCUGCCCUUGCUGCACUGGGCUGAAGACCAUCUACCUCCGGGGAGGGAGGAGAAUGUCUGGGCAGGGCUGGCACUCACCCUUCUGGGAUCUCCCCACCAGAGAUGCCUCAGCCCACUUCCAACCUACCACUGCACACACCAGGCCCAAAAUGGUCUCCGCACCUGAACGAGACUCAUCUAAAGUUACGACCUGAGGAUACCUCCUGGCUGUGACUUCACCAGGAACUUGCUGCCCAUCAGCUAUUCCUUACUACCAUAAACUCUGCCAAGCAGCAUGACCACCCAGCAUCUUGGUCCUUCCUUUUGAUCUAAGAGGGGACAUGAAAAUUUCACUCAAAACCCCAUCCCUGUGCUGCCAAUCUGCCUCAACACCCGAAUUCAUUUAGAGCUGCCUUCGCUGUUCCACUGCAAUAAUGUGUUUGUGUGGGGUUUGCGUUGGAAAGUUCAACUCCGUGGCUCACACUGUAUUUCUUGUUCUCACGCUGCAAGACUUGGAUGUGGCUUGAAAGGAAGAAUUUAAAUCCAAGUAUCUUUUCUUACUCUAGUUGCUUUUACUGCCACAAACAUAGUUCGACAUUAGGCUUUGAAAACAUUUUAUCUCAUAUUUUUUUGAUGAUGGCAUUUACUAUAGUGCUAUUAAUACCUGGUGGGGGGGAACUAAUAUUUUUCACUAUGUCAUGACAGUAGUUUUAUUUAUAAACUUCAUGUGAAGGCAGGUUUGUUGUCCAUCUGGACGGAACAGUAGGAAGAUCAGAUGAUGGGAGGAGUGGGGAGUGCCAGGAGGAGCUCAGCACUGAUGUGGCAGCAGCAGGGGCUGAUGCCAUGCGGGGAACACUCCCAAACUGGCUGCUGGAUUUCCCCCUUCUAAAAUACAUGCUUCAACAACCAGCACUGUAAAACAUGCAAAGACUUCAAGGUGUUAUGGCGACCUGUACUUGCAGAGACUAUUACACUGAGCCCCACUAUUUCUAUGAUUUCUUAAAUACUUAAUGCCCUCUCACAAACCCGUGGAGAUCGUUCCAUCAAGUUGCACCUAGUAGCUCGUAGCAUAUAUUAAAAUCAAAGACAUGCAGUUAAAAGAAUUUAUUUUCUUAAAAAGAAAUAGAAGUAGCCCAAGGAAAGUGCAGAUCCAUUAAAAGAUAACUAAGGCACUGAACAGUUGUAAACAUCCAAGUCAUCACACAGGAUGCCUACGCUGCCCAACAUGAGUCUGGAGCCACCAGGAUCUUCACCACACAUCCCAACUGAGGCCCACCAGAGCCAAGCUGCUGCACUUCCCACAGGGCUGCUUAGGAAGGGGCAGCUUCCCCCACUGCCAGGGCCACAGGAGCCAUCUGAACCCUCAUGCUACAGGGGACACCUGGAAAAUUUAAAGGGAGAAACAAGCCGGAACCUCAGCCAGGGUCGGUGACUGUGUUGGAGAAUGGAACAGGCCCACCAGCAGCAGCUGCUGCGGGUUGAAAAAGCCCAUGAGCACCAAGGGCAAGGCGGCAGAUUGCAGCUUACUGCUCCAGCAUCUUCUCCUCCUUCCCCUCUUAAGCAGCCUUGAAAAAUCACACUGAUAAAAGCCAAGGUAUGAGCAGAAUUGACCCAAUUACGCCAGCAAAACCUCUUUACUCUUAUUUGAGGCAAAAAUGACUUCAUCACUUUAUUUGUAACUAGCAACAGUUUUUAGAUUAGGUUAUAGUGGGAGAUCUGUCUUCAACAGGAAUGGAUGUGUCUGCCCAAGGAUUACACUGCUGUAACUUCUUUCAUGCCUAGACGAGGCACUAAUAAGAGACAGACCCUGCUCUCAGUCCUGCACUGCCCAGGGCAGGCAGCUUGAAACCAUUCAACACUGCAUCUGAGAUUUAAAGUGGCAGAAAUUCCCGUUACAGAAGAGGUGAUAGAAGCAGGCAGUGAUGGCUGCCCUCUGAAUUGGUGCCGAUGGACAUGGCCACCCAGGGAAAGAGUCAUCCCCAUUACAGCAAAACAGGGUAGAAACAGGGUAGCAAUAGGGUAACAACAGGAUAACAACAGGAGAAGGGACCCACAUUUGCUGCUCUGCCCCUUCACACGUGCACACACAAAGCAGGGGGGUGUUUCUUGGCCUACAGGCACUGCCAGCGCAUGUGCAGCAUGCACACAACAGCAAUUUUUGUGUGAUUUUCUGAGAUUUAAGUUUGGAAGUAAAAACAUGGACUUUAUUUCUAAUACUUCAAUCCUCUGUGCCACUGGAUGUCUGAGCAGUGAUGUGUAAUUAGAAAGGAGGGUUGCUGCUCCCCACUACAUAUAAGAGCAAAAUGGAGAUCAAGAUAUGCUGCAGCUCCUGCUACCUCACACCCACUAAUCCUGCUCCAGGGGGGCCACACUCUGCUGGGCAGGGAAGGAAACGCUUCUGUUAUGAUUAAAUCUGCAACUUGCUAUUCUUUAUCAUUACUAAAUAAAUCACCACCUGCUCCUUGGAAAAACACACUGCUUCACAGGGGAGUAUCUCUGGGCUCUACCAACAGCGUGAGAGAAGGGAAAGGGGAAAGCAGUAGUAUAAGUCAAAUGGGGAGAGGAAAGGCAGGCUGAGGACCCCGCUCACAAAACAGCUGUCCCAUCUAUUUUGUUAGUAUUGCUUCAUCUUAAAAAGGCCUUUGGAUUAAAAGUGAAUUCAGUGCUUUUCCAUCAAAAACAUACACAGAUCUGUUACCUGACCAAGAUGCAUACAAGUCAAACACUUAUCUCCUAAAAGAUUGAAAAAAUAUUUU
Molecule: long non-coding RNA, 6339 nt
Filed under: Strigops habroptila (Kakapo)
Lineage: Eukaryota; Metazoa; Chordata; Aves; Psittaciformes; Psittacidae
Description: lncRNA (ENSSHBG00005015262.1)
Source: RNAcentral